RNAcentral lists this ribosomal RNA (491 nucleotides) under uncultured bacterium. Its description in RNAcentral is "bacterial SSU rRNA". It matches the Rfam family "Bacterial small subunit ribosomal RNA", at positions 588 to 1084 of the family's 1533-position model. The record is from RNAcentral.
UCAGUUGUGAAAGUUUGCGGCUCAACCGUAAGAUUGCAGUUGAUACUGGAUAUCUUGAGUGCAGUUGAGGCAGGCGGAAUUCGUGGUGUAGCGGUGAAAUGCUUAGAUAUCACGAAGAACUCCGAUUGCGAAGGCAGCCUGCUAAGCUGCAACUGACAUUGAGGCUCGAAAGUGUGGGUAUCAAACAGGAUUAGAUACCCUGGUAGUCCACACGGUAAACGAUGAAUACUCGCUGUUUGCGAUAUACUGCAAGCGGCCAAGCGAAAGCGUUAAGUAUUCCACCUGGGGAGUACGCCGGCAACGGUGAAACUCAAAGGAAUUGACGGGGGCCCGCACAAGCGGAGGAACAUGUGGUUUAAUUCGAUGAUACGCGAGGAACCUUACCCGGGCUUAAAUUGCAGAUGAAUUACGGUGAAAGCCGUAAGCCGCAAGGCAUCUGUGAAGGUGCUGCAUGGUUGUCGUCAGCUCGUGCCGUGAGGUGUCGGCUUAAG